This 325-nucleotide ribosomal RNA is filed under the name uncultured eukaryote. RNAcentral describes it as "partial 18S ribosomal RNA". It matches the Rfam family "Eukaryotic small subunit ribosomal RNA", at positions 1470 to 1796 of the family's 1831-position model. The record is from RNAcentral.
CCCUUAGACGUUCUGGGCCGCACGCGCGCUACACUGACACAGGCAACGAGCUUUCCUUUACCGAAAGGUAUGGGUAAUCUUUUGAAACUGUGUCGUGCUGGGGAUAGAUCCUUGCAAUUUUCGAUCUUAAACGAGGAAUUCCUAGUAAGCGCGAGUCAUCAACUCGCGUUGAUUACGUCCCUGCCCUUUGUACACACCGCCCGUCGCUACUACCGAUUGAGUGGUCCGGUGAGGCUUUGGGAUCUGAGCGGAAAGAGCGUUUCGCUGUUUCUGCUCGGAAAACUCAGUCGAACCUUAUCAUUUAGAGGAAGGAGAAGUCGUAACA